GCUGAUUACAUGCCCACUCAUGGGUCAAUUCACAUAGCAAAGUGAAUGAUCCAUGCUUGAUGGUCACAAACUGGUCAGCACAUUCCUUAGUAUGAUGCCCAUAUUGCCCAGCCUGGUAUGCACCAUACUAUGUGGAACAAUAUGCUAUGGCACUAAAUCCAUGAUCUUAAGUAGUUGAGCUGUAUGAGUUCAACAUCAUAGUAUUUGUGAUUUUCUCUCAUUCUGGGGAGACUUCAAUUAUGUAGAUCUGGAAAAGGUGUCCUUGAUGUUUGUUGGUCAUAAUAGGUGAGUAAUAUGUUAAAAUGAUGGCAUUCUUUUCUUGGUUGUGUCAUAGAGGAAUACAGGAUACGUGGG
RNAcentral lists this long non-coding RNA (354 nucleotides) under Elaeis guineensis (African oil palm). RNAcentral's name for it is "long non-coding RNA (EGUI_LNC079707)". The record is from RNAcentral. Lineage: Eukaryota; Viridiplantae; Streptophyta; Magnoliopsida; Arecales; Arecaceae.